UACGUAGGGUGCGAGCGUUGAUCGGAAUUACUGGGCGUAAAGCGUGUGUAGGCGGCUUUGUAAGUCCGGUGUGAAAUCUCCUGGCUUAACUGGGAGGGUGCGCCGGAAACUGGGGUGCUCGAGCGUGGGAGAGGAAAGCGGAAUUCCUGGUGUAGCGGUGAAAUGCGUAGAUAUCAGGAGGAACACCUGUGGUGUAGACAGCUUUCUGGACCAUUGCUGACGCUGAGACACGAAAGCGUGGGUAGCAAACAGG
This 253-nucleotide ribosomal RNA is filed under the name uncultured bacterium. Its description in RNAcentral is "partial 16S ribosomal RNA". It matches the Rfam family "Bacterial small subunit ribosomal RNA", at positions 524 to 776 of the family's 1533-position model. The record is from RNAcentral.